RNAcentral lists this transfer RNA (73 nucleotides) under Felis catus (domestic cat). It matches the Rfam family "tRNA". Rfam says of the family: Transfer RNA (tRNA) molecules are approximately 80 nucleotides in length. Their secondary structure includes four short double-helical elements and three loops (D, anti-codon, and T loops). The record is from Rfam by way of RNAcentral. Lineage: Eukaryota; Metazoa; Chordata; Mammalia; Carnivora; Felidae.
ACCUGGGUGGCUCAGUUGGUAGAGCGUGUGACUUUUGAUCUCAAAGUUGUAGGUUCGAGCACCAUAUUCGGUG